This 497-nucleotide ribosomal RNA is filed under the name uncultured bacterium. RNAcentral's name for it is "partial 16S ribosomal RNA". It matches the Rfam family "Bacterial small subunit ribosomal RNA", at positions 28 to 507 of the family's 1533-position model. The record is from RNAcentral.
GAUGAACGCUGGCGGCGUGCCUAAUACAUGCAAGUCGAGCGAACAGACGAGGAGCUUGCUCCUCUGACGUUAGCGGCGGACGGGUGAGUAACACGUGGAUAACCUACCUAUAAGACUGGGAUAACUUCGGGAAACCGGAGCUAAUACCGGAUAAUAUAUUGAACCGCAUGGUUCAAUAGUGGAAGACGGUUUUGCUGUCACUUAUAGAUGGAUCCGCGCCGCAUUAGCUAGUUGGUAAGGUAACGGCUUACCAAGGCAACGAUGCGUAGCCGACCUGAGAGGGUGAUCGGCCACACUGGGACUGAGACACGGUCCAGACUCCUACGGGAGGCAGCAGUAGGGAAUCUUCCGCAAUGGGCGAAAGCCUGACGGAGCAACGCCGCGUGAGUGAUGAAGGUCUUCGGAUCGUAAAACUCUGUUAUUAGGGAAGAACAAAUGUGUAAGUAACUAUGCACGUCUUGACGGUACCUAAUCAGAAAGCCACGGCUAACUACGUG